RNAcentral lists this ribosomal RNA (484 nucleotides) under uncultured bacterium. RNAcentral's name for it is "partial 16S ribosomal RNA". It matches the Rfam family "Bacterial small subunit ribosomal RNA", at positions 28 to 523 of the family's 1533-position model. The record is from RNAcentral.
GACGAACGCUGGCGGCGUGCUUAACACAUGCAAGUCGAACGAUGAACCCGGAGCUUGCUCCGGCGGAUUAGUGGCGAACGGGUGAGUAACACGUGAGUAACCUGCCCUUGACUCUGGGAUAACUGCUAGAAAUGGUAGCUAAUACCGGAUACGACCCUCGGUGGCAUCACCAGGGGGUGGAAAGAAUUUCGGUCAAGGAUGGACUCGCGGCCUAUCAGCUAGUUGGUGAGGUAACGGCUCACCAAGGCGACGACGGGUAGCCGGCCUGAGAGGGUGACCGGCCACACUGGGACUGAGACACGGCCCAGACUCCUACGGGAGGCAGCAGUGGGGAAUAUUGCACAAUGGGCGCAAGCCUGAUGCAGCAACGCCGCGUGAGGGAUGACGGCCUUCGGGUUGUAAACCUCUUUUAGUAGGGAAGAAGCGAAAGUGACGGUGCCUGCAGAAAAAGCACCGGCUAACUACGUGCCAGCAGCCGCAGUAA